Non-coding RNA from Drosophila melanogaster (fruit fly), 2073 nucleotides. Lineage: Eukaryota; Metazoa; Arthropoda; Insecta; Diptera; Drosophilidae. The record is from Ensembl.
AUAUACUCACUACCCAGUUGUAUCCCCACAAGUAUGAACAUCAUCAGCGAACUCCGCUUGGCCCAAAAACGAGAAUCGAUUAAUCGGCCAAGUAAGGCGCAACUUUGGGGGAAACCCACUCGUUUAAAGCAAUCCGGAAUCGAACGCGGCAGUCUGCUGUUGUGUGUUGAAAGGAUCCACAGCCCCCAGGAAAUUGCUGCUUAAGCACUGAGCAAAAAGUAUGUGUUGUCUUUCAAUUCUUCGAGAUACAAUAUCAUUUGUAAAACCUGUCUAAAAGUGUGCUGUGUAAAAGAAUGUAAAAGAAUCGUAAUUGUUGCAUACUUUUAGACACAUUAAAAAUAUGUUGUAAGCCCAGUAACAAUUACAAAUUAUUAGAAAACCUUGUUUAAUCUUUUACGUAUUCAUUGGCUGCGCUAGUGCAUAGCUUCUCAAACUUUUAUUUUAAAAGUUUUAAAAGAGUCGUAUUAGGCUUUUUCUGAGUGCCCAUAUGUAUUCCACCGGCAAUUUCUGGAUCCUGAGCCAAAAGUCGUGCUACGCAGGAGACAAGUGUGUGACAAUGCCACGGCUCCAGCUCGGGCUCCAAAGUAGAAGUGGCUCGCAAACUUUGUGUCCCCAUCCCCAACCAAAACGAAGAGUUCCUGGAACAACUUGCCUCGCAUAUGGCGCUGCACCUACAAGGACACGAAGCAAGACGCCAGGAAUCGCACCCUUGCUGCUGCCGCCGUCGCCAUUUUUAGUGUAAAUAUUUAAACAAUAAUAAGUUGGCGGAAAAACGUGGGGAAACUCUUACGCUGCCAGCGCGGCAAGGCGAGGCAAAAACUUUUGUUAUCUUUUCACCAUGAAAAUAGCACGAAAUUGAACAGGAAAACGCCGCCGGAGUCAGGUGAGAAGUGCUGGUGGUGAUGGUGCCCAGGCGGGCGGAUAGGGAGGCAGGUGACAGGUGGCAUGGGAGACUGCUACACAUCGACGGGCUUUCGACAGAAAGACAGACAGUCAGCCUGAAAGCUGAAAGCAUUGCACGUGCACUAAUCAUCACGGAUGGCGGUGCGCACGGGGAAUUUGGCUGGUGUAUCGCCUUUCAUGUUUUCAAUUAGCGUUAAUGUCAGUGCAGCGCCCGUUGAGCUGGAACGGGUACCGAAAACUAUAGUAUAGUAUCACCAUUGGCCAAUGUUUGCGUUUUGACAAUACACCGCCCAACCCUUUCCAAAUAAAGGCUUGUUAGACAAAGGGAUAUCAUAUCGCCAAACCCAGACGUUAUAUACCUGGCUUAAAGUUUGUGGCAACUUUAGAGAGCAUGGUUGCAUGGCAUGGUUAAGAAAUAUAAUUGUAUAUCUUGUAUUUAUUGGUAAAAAUAAUUCGUUUAGCUCUGUGCUCUGUUCGAGACGUUUGAAAUUGAAGUUUUUUGCGAACUUUCGACUGCGACUACUGCUAGAGUAACUACAAGUGGAAAUUAAUUUUCGACGACAGGCUCAAUCCAUCAUUAAUGCUCCCCACAAAGCCAACGUUCUUUAUUCAUACCAUAACUGCUCUAUAAAUAUGAUCAGGGAACGACUUGCCUUUACCCCGAAAAUGUCAUUUGCAUAACCGUCAAUCAUACGCCACGUAUGCCGGCUCUUUGCUGUUCCACCUUGUUUGUUUCUGCCCCACUGGGUGCACACACACACACCACCAACAACACCACCAACAACACCACCGGAGCCCAAACCCAGCAUAUGUUCGAUGGCACUGAAAAUUUUGCUUCUCGAUUUGCGUUUGCGUUUUAUUUCGAAAUUGAAUUUCAGCACUGAUUAUAUUUUUUCUACCUUCUUUGCCGAGCAGCCAGCCACAUAUCGAAUAUGGGAAUAUGUGCGAUGCGGACUUGGGGGAGUCCUGAGGAUCCGGCGUGUUCUGAUGGGGAUGCAUUGAUUGGUUGAAUGGAGGUGGUUAGGGGCCUCCUGUUGUUUGCCGGGGGUGCAUAAAUAAGCGCCACUCAAUUAUGCAGACUGUGGGCGAAGCAGCCAUAAUCCUUUAUCCUUUCUACCAGCGACGUGUCGAUUUGAUUUGCUUUGCAAUUUAUUUUUGAAUAGCGCUGAC